AGCGCCGUGGCGUAGUGGUAAGCGCACCAGCCUGUAACCCAGAGGUAAUGAGUUCAAGGCUCUUCGCUGCUA
Molecule: non-coding RNA, 72 nt
Organism: Ciona intestinalis (vase tunicate)
Lineage: Eukaryota; Metazoa; Chordata; Ascidiacea; Phlebobranchia; Cionidae
Source: Rfam